CUUUCAACAACGGAUCUCUUGGUUCCAGCAUCGAUGAAGAACGCAGCGAAAUGCGAUAAAUAAUGUGAAUUGCAGAAUUCAGUGAAUCAUCGAGUCUUUGAACGCACAUUGCGCCCCUCGGUAUUCCGGGGGGCAUGCCUGUUCGAGCGUCAUUACACCCCUCAAGCGUAGCUUGGUCUU
This 180-nucleotide ribosomal RNA is filed under the name Bryoria americana. Its description in RNAcentral is "5.8S ribosomal RNA". The stretch from base 1 to 152 matches the Rfam family "5.8S ribosomal RNA". From Rfam's summary of the family: 5.8S ribosomal RNA (5.8S rRNA) is a component of the large subunit of the eukaryotic ribosome. The record is from RNAcentral. Lineage: Eukaryota; Fungi; Ascomycota; Lecanoromycetes; Lecanorales; Parmeliaceae.